This 252-nucleotide ribosomal RNA is filed under the name uncultured bacterium. Its description in RNAcentral is "partial 16S ribosomal RNA". It matches the Rfam family "Bacterial small subunit ribosomal RNA", at positions 524 to 776 of the family's 1533-position model. The record is from RNAcentral.
UACGUAGGGUGCGAGCGUUAAUCGGAAUUACUGGCGUAAAGCGUGCGCAGGCGGUUUUGUAAGCCAGAUGUGAAAUCCCCGGGCUUAACCUGGGAAUGGCAUUUGGGACUGCAAGGCUUGAGUGCGGCAGAGGAGACUGGAAUUCCUGGUGUAGCAGUGAAAUGCGUAGAUAUCAGGAGGAACACCGAUGGCGAAGGCAGGUCUCUGGGCUGACACUGACGCUCAUGCACGAAAGCGUGGGGAGCAAACAGG